Long non-coding RNA from Homo sapiens (human), 1713 nucleotides. The record is from Ensembl. NCBI's taxonomy places the organism in Eukaryota, Metazoa, Chordata, Mammalia, Primates, Hominidae.
GGGCUGGGGCCAGAAUGAUAUUCUGUAUUUCUAACGAGCUCCCAGGAGAUGCCAAUGUUGCCAUCCUUGGACCACGCUGAGUAGCGAGAAUGCAGAGGACAGCAUGUCUACCUUUUCCUGAGCCUCCUUUCAAAGGAUGAGAUACGGGAAUACUGGUAUCACACAGCCCCGAGAAUCCUGAGGUGGGAGCAGGGGAGGCUGAACCCUCUAGAUGUACCCUGAGUAUGUUUUUACAGUGGGUUCAAGUAUUUUAAUCUGCUGUUCAAAAAAUACAUGAAUUCGUCCUCAGUUCAAAGCCAUAGGCUAGCUACUGUAUGAUGUGACACAAUUCUGUAUAACAUAAAUACAGUAAUCUCAUUAAAUUUAACAUCUGUGCCCUAAUCAUCACCUCUUUAAGGACUAAAAUAUUCUCCAGUGUUGUUGCUUUCUCCCCACUGUUUGAGGGAAAAAAAGUAAACCUAUAGAAAAGUUGAAAGAAUUACAUGACAACUUUAAACCCUUCCCCAGAUUUACCAAUUAUUAACAUGCUGCUGUGCUUUCUGUCUCUCUCCUUACCCAUCUAUGUGUGUAUAUAUAUGUGUGUAUGAUAAAUAUUUAUUUAGUUUAUUUUCAUGUUUUUAUCUGAAUAAUUUAAAAAUAAAUUGCAGCUCUCCAUUGCUUUUUAUCAUGUUAUCAUUUGUUUCUGUUAACAAGUUCGGCUGCAAACUGAAUUGCUGACUGAGAGUCAUGUGUGUGUGCAGGAAACCAAGGUGGCUUGGAGUUUCCCAGACUUUUUAGGUUCACGUUUACAGAGGAGAAAGCAAAUGGUGGAAACUCUUGUUUCUCUUUAAAAAUCUUUGACAGUUCAUCCUUAUGUUCUACCCAGUUACCUCACUCCACACUGCCUUUAUGAUCCCACUAGUGACCACCAAAGAGAGGGAAUCUAAGAGAGAAAGCAGAGAAUAACUUAUUCUGCUAAACCCAACACAAAUGAAAGGUAAAUAUCUAGAAGAUAACCUGCUGGAUCAUGAGGGGGAAUGAAGAAAGAAAAGGAAACCAAGGUAUUGACAGGAAAACCAGCUUCUACUUUCUCCUACGUCUUUGAUGUCACUGUGGAGCAACCAUGAGACUUUCCCUGUUGUCAUUUGUCAAUUCGUCCUUCCCCAAGCCAAGGCAGUUUACUAACGUCUAGACUCAUUAAAGUGGAUGAGAUUUUGUUUCCAAAUCCUGGACAGUGCUAAUGUAAAUGCUUGUUUAUCCAUGGUGGUGCAGAAUGAAGGAAGUCCAUGCUCUGCACAAGUAAAGCGAUGUGUCAUGUCAUAUUGCCAAAAGGUUGCAUCAUUUCUAAACUUUCCGGAAGACUGGAUGGGCAAGAGGUCAUCUAUGUUUAUUUUGUGAAGUUUGCCCUACCAGGAAAUGUGUGGGUACAAGAGAUAUUUUGGGCCCAUGAGACUCUCACUUUAGAUGCUUAAUCCAGCAGCAUGUGCUAUAAGCUUCAGUCUCUAACUACAUCUUUAAAAAGAGUGGCAAGUUGUGAAGUAUGCAAGGUUUUUUGGCUGCACUGACAGAGCCACGUAUAAAAUCCUGUUGCCAAGCAGAGACUAGAACCAGAUGACAAAGACUGAAAACACACGCCAUGUAUUGACUUUCCUAUAAAAUACUCAUUACAACCUAAUCCAGUCAUACUCAUUUCUAGAAGAAUUACAUAAUCAGUCAGCAAUCCAUAUUAAUUAA